This 402-nucleotide ribosomal RNA is filed under the name uncultured prokaryote. RNAcentral's name for it is "bacterial SSU rRNA". It matches the Rfam family "Bacterial small subunit ribosomal RNA", at positions 355 to 774 of the family's 1533-position model. The record is from RNAcentral.
UAGUGAAUAUUAGAAAUGGGCGAAAGCCUGAACUAGCAACACCGCGUGUGCGAAGAAGGCCUUCGGGUUGUAAAGCACUUUUUGAGAGGAUGAGGAAGGACGGUACUCUCAGAAUAAGUCUCGGCUAACUACGUGCCAGCAGCCGCGGUAACACGUAGGAGGCAAACGUUAUCCGGAUUUACUGGGCGUAAAGCGCGUGUAGGUGGUUUGGUAAGUAGAGCGUGAAAGCUCCUGGCUCAACUGGGAGAGGUCGUUCGAAACUGCCGGACUUGAGGAUGGCAGAGGGAGGUGGAAUUCCGGGUGUAGCGGUGGAAUGCGCAGAUAUCCGGAGGAACACCAGUGGCGAAGGCGGCCUCCUGGACCACUCCUGACACUCAGACGCGAAAGCGAGGGUAGCAAACA